GCUCUGGGAACUCAACUCAGAUCCGUCGCCGUUGCAUAAUCGAGUAAAAUGGAUCAAGAGGCAGCUGAAACUGCGAGGGAGUCGCUGGAGCUUGUGUUUCGGAUGUCGAACAUCUUGGACACUGGUCUCGAUCGACAUACAUUGUCUGUUUUAAUAGCUCUCUGCGAUCUUGGUCUUAACCCCGAGGCUCUAGCUGCUGUCGUCAACGAGCUUCGCCAGGAAUCUGGCAACAACCAUGGCAGCCGCUUAAGAUAAUAAUUCAAAUCCUUUGGAAGAUGGAUCAAUACUGAAACAUCUGCGAUUGAUUUUUUUUUUCUUUUUCCUUUUAUGUUUCGGUUUUAUUCUGCCAUUAACUUAUCGAGUGUUCCUGAGAUAUAGAGUCUUAUGAGGGGCCGAAUCACAAAGUUACCCUCCUCA
This is a long non-coding RNA of Raphanus sativus (radish), 417 nucleotides long. RefSeq lists it as uncharacterized. The record is from RefSeq and is a predicted model, not a curated record. The transcript is spliced from 2 exons. Lineage: Eukaryota; Viridiplantae; Streptophyta; Magnoliopsida; Brassicales; Brassicaceae.